UCUGAACUCGCUUCCACGUUUUCCCAUCUUAAUGUUUUAAAUAAAACGCGAGGUCGUCAUGGCUAGGAUCGCGGGGGCAAUUCUUAGCGAAGUUUACUCUCUUUUAAAUAUCCGCGCAACCGAAAAAAACGAAUCGUGGGUAAAGACGUGCGUUUAGAACUCUACGACUGUCGGAAUUACGUCGCGCAUGUGCACAUGGUCAGCAUGUCGUCAAGUAUACCAGGUGUAACAAUUUAUCAUUCUACCUGGCCACUGCACUCGCUACAGAGCUGAAGCGUGGAGUGAAGAGGCGCCGCUGCUCUUUUGAACAGGUGACCCACAAACUGGUGCGGCACGGUUUCCGGCCCUGUUAAUAAGAAUUAUACGUUACCUGCUCCCUUCGUGAGCCCUCCCUCGACGUGGGGGAGGGUGGCAAAGCACGUGUUGGCUGUCCUGCUUAUGCGGCUAAUCGAGUCCGACCAACAGCGUCUCGGAGAAUAGACCUGAAAACGAGAGCUAACUGGUGUCAGUGUCGUCACUAUCAGGAGACCGACGCGAAGAAUGUGAAGCAGCCGAAAAGUGUCUCUACUAACCUCAAACCCCCUAAUACUCCAUCGAUGAAGCUAUAAGUUUACGCGCUUUUUUGCUACACUCUGCGCUUAAAAAUUCGCAUUGUCUAUUGCGUUUAGAGCCUAUUUUAAAAUAAAAUUUUCUAAACUUUGUAGAAAAUUUUAAAGAACUAAAAUAAUAAUGUGUAUGAAUUAUUUUUUCCCGACAAAUAGCCGUACACUUGCUUCUCAGGCAUUGUAUGAUGAUUUAAAAUGUAAAAACAAAUGCUGAACAAUAAUAAACUAAUUUUAUUUCAAAUACUUUUAUUGUUAGCAUUGAUAGGUUCUCUCUACCUCCGUAUAUAAGAAAUUAUCAAUAAUAUCUUUACAUAUAUUUGCAAUAAUAUCUUUAAAGUUAUAUCAUCUGAGUUGUAAGUGUAUAAAAUAAUGUAGAUACUUUUAUACUAUUUACUAUAAUGGGCAUAUUCAAGGACAAUAUGUGCCAGAAAGGACAUUAUUCAACAUUAUUAAUUUUUGAUAAAUUGAUUAAAAUACAUUAUCAGAA
Molecule: long non-coding RNA, 1092 nt
Organism: Stegodyphus dumicola
Lineage: Eukaryota; Metazoa; Arthropoda; Arachnida; Araneae; Eresidae
Source: RefSeq, a predicted model, not a curated record